This is a non-coding RNA of Electrophorus electricus (electric eel), 2489 nucleotides long. Lineage: Eukaryota; Metazoa; Chordata; Actinopteri; Gymnotiformes; Gymnotidae. The record is from RefSeq and is a predicted model, not a curated record.
GGAAAUAUUGUGACAAAACCAUAAACCGUCUGGUUUCACUGCGAGUUAUUUUUACUUUUGCAACUACAUUUCCUGUCGAGCACAGUAUAGCCUGGUGUAAGUACAAACUCAGAUAAUCCUAAAACCUGGUAACUGCGCGUGUCUCUGCUUCAGUGACCUCCCUGACAACUGCGCGUGUCUCUGCUUCAGUGGUCUCCCUGACAACUGCGCGUGUCUCUGCUUCAGUGGUCUCCCUGACAACUGCGCGUGUCUCUGCUUCAGUGGUCUCCCUGAGCAAGUCUCUUGCAGCGCUCUGGGAGGUAUACCAACUGAACCAAGACAAAGCGAAACUUGAUCAUUUGUCUAACAACAUGGGGAAACAAUACAAUUUAUGAAUGGUAUGAGACAGAAUUCACAAUCACAUUAUUCCAUAUCCCAUCUCCAGGAUUCCAGUUGGAGGAAAAAUCCUCCCAGUUUCGACGUCAUUGCGUGGGCAGGACAGAGUUUAAAAUCGCUGAUCAGAAACGCGUCUAAAGACUGCGGGCUGGAAGGUGGUGUGUGAAGGAAUUUAAGAACCAUCAACCAGAUGAUAUCCCAAAGCUUCCAAGUGCAUCAAGCCCCAGGUUGCAAACCCCUGCUGUGGUGUAGACCCUGGUAUGUUGGGAAGCUUCUGCGUCCAGAGCCGAACUGACUGUUCGACUGGACCUUAUCAGCUCACCUACUCAGUACAUACCUCAACAUCAAAGGAAGGGGAGACUGGGAUCUUCUGUCACAAUGCAAGCUUUUACUUGGACUUCAUCUUCUUCAACGAAUGAUCUGCCUAGCCCAGAGAAUGCAGGUAGCUGGCAGCCUGACCCUACAAUACAUAAUGGAUAUCACAGUCUACAAAAAAGGACAUCAAACAAAGGGAAAAAUUAUAAGUCUUGUUGCUUAGGCAACAAAUAUUCCAUCAGUUCAGCCUCUCAGCCUAGGUUAAGGCCAGCUAAUCUGCAACCAAUCCAAACUCCUAAGUUGUGGUUUUACUCAAAUUCAGCUUCUUUCAGAACUGCUUGUCCAAAUUUUGCUGUACAGAAUGUACCUUUGCCAUCUGGUCAGCCUGGAACCCAUGUGGAAAACCUGAGCCAUCAUCCCCACUCUUCACAUUUAUCAUCCCUAGCCAUUGUCCCCAGUCUUCAAACACUUCAGGAGACCUAUAAGAAUACAACAGCAAUGCAAACCUCUGCCGCGGGUUGCUUUCCUUCUGUUUCUAGCAAUGGAAGCACUGCAUUUAAAGAUAACAAUCUCAGUCACAGCAUAACAGUCCGUAGAUAGGCGCGAGAGGCAAGGACAUCAGCGGCUCACGUGCUGUUCUACCCAUAGAGACAGAAGAAGACUGUGCUAACCGUAGAGAUAGAAGACACCACCUGCGCUCAGGCUAACCAAAACAUAAAGUUCAGAUACUUUGUAGGAGCUGUUUUUUCUUUUUUCUUUCUUUUCUUCUCUGUGUAUAAGGGGAGGGGUACUUGUACUGCGAGACAGGUCUCUUUCUCUGUUAUACAGGGGACAAAACUCAAUAAACUUUUUACUACUCAUUGCAUAAGGCUGUCUGUGUUUGAUGUGCUCUCAUUUUUCCACCACACUAGCUGACUCAAAAUCAAAGAAAACUCAGGGUUUUCGGUUUCAUAGAUUUCAUCUUAAAUCUUAAGGCUGAGCUGUUAGACUUGGCUCACAGUGAUGAUCUGUACAGUGCUACAAGAUGAGACAGAGAGACAUUACUGAAUAUGGUGACAUUGGAAUCGCGAACCCAGACAUCCUCUGUGGAUCUCCCUGUUGUCAAAGCAAAGAAACAGAACAGAAGAAAGCUAAAAGGGACAGCGACAAAGUUAAACCAGAAUAAACACUGGCUCAGCUUUUCAGAGUUGACAGCAGGUUCUGACUUGAAGGGAUUCAGGAGUGAUGCUGGGUUGGCCAGCCAGAUUGUUAUGGUGGAAUUUAAUGCUACCCCUGUAAUGUAUUGCUAUGUACCCUUGUAACUGUGAAUUUUUUUUUGACAGUACAGCUAAUGUUACUUGGCAAAUUUGCUAAUAUGAAUGUUUUGCUAAUGGUGUUUUUGCUUGAGAGUUCUACCCUUGCUGUUUGACUAAUCAAGGUAGCCAUUAUUCUCAAAUCAUUUCCAGUGAUGAUGUUUCUUAACAUCAGCUUAACAUUACUGAUGUUUCUUAGGGAUGCAGUAGGCUACUGACUAAUAAGGAUAUGAUUAAAACAGUUGAUAAUUCACCUACAUCCUCAAAGGACACAAACACACCUCUCUACAUCGUCUUCUCACUAUAAUUAAAGAUGAUACACACACAGUCCUCAUUCAUGCAUGUGCUUCUGUAGAGUUUUUUCUUUAUGUCCUUAUGAGCACAUUAAAUCAAGAACAAUCAGUGUUACCAGGGGCAACACCCCAAUAAUGUUUAAGACAACCUGUAAUCACUGUGAUGGAAAAUAUUAUUCGAUCAUGUAUUAUCAUGUGAUUCAUAUGUAAUGAU